CCGAGAUUACCCGAAGCGCGAUUCGAAGCUUCGACACACAGGACACAUCACUAGGUAGAAGUUCACCAGGAUGUCUGAGGACAGGUGGUUCUUCCUCAGAGUCCUCAAGAAGAAGAGGCGCUGGUGAGCCUUCUUGACCAGCUUGGAGCAGUUAGUUGUCCAGGCUGCAACCCCCCAACACACACACAAGGCACAACCACCAGAGGGCGCUGCAUGAACCAUUGAACUAGUCACUAAUAUAACAGAGGAGAGAGCAGCUGGGAAGGAAAGUGAAUAGCCCAUCCUGUGUUUGUUGUGAAUGGUGUGCGUCACAUAAAAGACCAACACCACAUGACCCCUCUACGUCCUCCUACACUGUGCCAUAUCUCCCUGUACCAUCAAUCUGAGUGCAAGUAAACUUUACAUAAAUCUUUGAUCUGUAGCAGUGUGACUCUGCAGUGCUGUACUGUAUGUUUGUGAGUUUCCUCCCCAACAAACACAAUAAUGAGGAUGAAACAUUUGCACCAUCAAAUUCAAACUUUACUCAACUCGUUCUUCUUGCUUCCUCUACUUCCGUACUAUUGAUUCAUUAAUGUUGAAUUCUCUCACAGCUGCUUUCUUCCAUGUUCUGGGCUUGAUCUUGGGUUUUAUUUUAUGAUACUGGAUUUAUUUUCUACGGAGGUUUGAACUUUGAGGGUGUUUAAACAAGAGAGAAAAGUGUAAAAAUUCAUGUCUGUCUCAGAAAAGUGUAUAAACUGUGUAUUCAGCGGUUAUACAGCCCUAAAACAUCUAUGAUAAUUGUAAGAAAAAAAGCUGACUACUUUGCAGAUUUCACCUAUUUUUAUUUUUAGAACAUAACUCCCACGAUAAACAAGGGUCCACUGUAUCAGUAUGUUAAACAUUUACCCAAUAAACUUAAAUUGCAUGUAACUUAGUUAAAAUAUAUAGUUCAGUUAAGUAUUAUUCACACGUAUAUCAUACAAUUUUGCCACUUCCUGUAUGAGCACCUGUUGAUGCAUACUGCUUGUUAUAAAAUUGAAUAAUUUUCAUUAAUGUGCCAUGUUUGACCGCGUUGUGACCUAUUGAGAAAAGGCAAAGGGUUUUUCAAAGGUUGCCCCUCUGCAGAUGGCCCUUAGUGAGAGUCCUGACCAGCCCCUGGCAGGACCUUGGCCUGUACCUGACCCUGCACCUGCUGUUUCUCGCUGGAGGACAAGUGGAAAGUUACCCAGCAGCAGGGGCAGUUAACGGCCACCAUAGAGAGAGGAUCCACCAGGGCUGUUGUCCUUCUCUCCGUGUCUGU
Molecule: long non-coding RNA, 1279 nt
Organism: Oreochromis aureus
Lineage: Eukaryota; Metazoa; Chordata; Actinopteri; Cichliformes; Cichlidae
Source: Ensembl